Molecule: ribosomal RNA, 649 nt
Filed under: uncultured bacterium
Lineage: Bacteria
Description: bacterial SSU rRNA
Rfam family: Bacterial small subunit ribosomal RNA
Source: RNAcentral
GGGCAGCUCUUCGGAGUAGUAAGUGGCGACGGGUGAGUAAUACAUGGGUAACCUGCCUUUGAGAAGGGAAUAACCAGCCGAAAGGCUGGCUAAUACCCUAUACGGUCCCUAUCCCCUGGGGUAGGGAGGAAAGCUGCACCGUGGGUGUGGCGCUCGAAGAGGGGCUCAUGGCCUAUCAGCUUGUUGGUAGGGUAACGGCCUACCAAGGCAUCGACGGGUAGCUGGUCUGAGAGGAUGAUCAGCCACACUGGCACUGAGAUACGGGCCAGACUCCUACGGGAGGCAGCAGUGAGGAAUAUUGCGCAAUGGGCGAAAGCCUGACGCAGCGACGCCGCGUGGGGGAAGAAGGUUUUCGGAUUGUAAACCCCUUUCAGGAGGAAAGAUGGGGUGGGUAACCACUCGGACGGUACCUCCAGAAGAAGCCACGGCUAACUUCGUGCCAGCAGCCGCGGUAAUACGAAGGUGGCGAGCGUUGUUCGGAUUUAUUGGGCGUAAAGAGCACGUAGGCGGUUUGGUAAGCCCCUUGUAAAAUCUCCAGGCUUAACCUGGAACGGUCGAGGGGAACUGCCAAGCUAGAGGACGGGAGAGGAGCGCGGAAUUCCCGGUGUAGCGGUGAAAUGCGUAGAUAUCGGGAGGAAGGCCGGUGGCG